CUCGGGGACGCCGCGGCGGCCGAGGUAGCGCGGGCCAGGGCGCUGCGGAGGCUCUCGCUGGUCCGCUGGAAGCCGCUCACCGACAUGGGCCUCGGAUGCGUCGCCGUCGGGUGCACGGAGCUGAAGGACCUCUCGCUCAAGUGGUGCCUUGGACUCACGGAUCUGGGGAUCCAGCUCCUCGCCCUCAAGUGCAGGAAGCUCACCAGCCUGGAUCUCUCCUACACCAUGAUCACAAAGGAUAGCUUGCCUUCUAUCAUGAAGCUACCCAAUCUUCAAGAGCUGACACUGGUGGGGUGUAUUGGAAUCGAUGAUGGUGCUCUUGUUAGUCUUGAGAGAGAAUGCAGUAAAUCACUACAGGUGCUUGAUAUGUCUCAGUGUCAGAAUAUCACCGAUGUAGGAGUUUCAUCCAUCCUGAAGUCGGUACCCAAUCUAUUGGAACUGGAUCUUUCAUACUGCUGUCCUGUUACUCCUUCUAUGGUGAGAAACUUCCAGAAGCUUCCUAAACUGCAGGCCCUGAAGCUGGAAGGCUGCAAAUUCAUG
Zea mays is the source of this 540-nucleotide non-coding RNA. The record is from RefSeq. NCBI's taxonomy places the organism in Eukaryota, Viridiplantae, Streptophyta, Magnoliopsida, Poales, Poaceae.